CACACAGAGAAUGGAAGGGAGGGAAAAGGGCAGAUACAGCUCGCCGUUAACAGGGUGAACUAACAGAGAGAGAGAAAUCACCACGGAGAGAGUUACAGGAAAUAUAUGGACUUCACUUCUACUCUGCAGCAGCUUGGAGGGACACUGAGAGGCUUGUGUGAGUGACUGAUGAUGGAGACCGAGACCACAGUGGGACCAAAGCAGGGACCGACGCUGAGGAGGAGAGCAAUGGGGAUGAAGGUCCAAAAUACACACACAUGCACAAACAGGACCUAUACCUAUACAUGCACAAAGUGGAGAGAUGUCAAAGUGAGGGGGCUGCCUUGGUCAGGUACCCUGAGCAGUUGGGGGGUUCAGUGCCUUGCUCAAGAGCACCCCAGCAGUGCCCAGGAGGUGAACUGGCUCCUCUCCAGCCACCAGUCCACGCUCUACAUUUGGUCCGGACGGGGACUUGAACCUCCGGUUCCCAACCCAAGUCCCUAUGGAUUGAGCUACUGCCGCCCAUAGUCAACAGACAGGACUCAGUCAACAGCAGACAGUGACGAAUCCCAUCUUGAGGAGCCAGCACCAUCAAGGCGUGCAAGAACGUGGUCCCAUUUGUCCACGAGAACGACUGAAAGACAGAGGGAGAUGGCGCCCUACUUUGAAGCUCUUCUGCAGCAGCAGCAGGAACAGGCAGACAAGGACCAAGAGAGCAUUCGCUCUAUCUCAAAUGUCCUUGGUCAGGCUGUCCAGUGCUUCCAGCGUUGUGUGGAGGCAGCAGAAAGGCAGGCACAUGCAGUCGAGGCCUUUUCAGGGCAACAGGGCAACAACCAUCGCACACCCUUAUUUGCCACACCAUCUGUCACUUACAACCCACAUUGGUCUACCUCCAACAGUCAACGAACACCCCCCUACAACCAACAUCCAUCUACCUCUACCAUCAACACACAGCCCCCCUACAACUAACAUCCACCAACCUCAACCAUCAAUACACAGGAUUUGUCUUUCCUAUCAUUAUUAGACCAGUAGAAAUGAGUUGCCAGUCAAAGCCGUUUCCUUUCAAAUAACUUGUUAACACACAGCCAGUUUGGUGCUAUUAGUGUCCGGGGCCUCAGCCACAUUUAAUUGUUUGGUUUUUUACCAGUUUAAGGAGACAGUUGUAUUUUAUUUUACUUGACAGUUGAGUUUGUGAUUGCACUAUCCAGGAAAUUGCUGAUCUAGACUUGAAUAUGUUUAUCGCAUUUCCAAAGAAGUGUGUGUGUGUGUGUGUGUGUGUGUGUGAGAGAGAGUGUGUGAGAGAGGGAGAGAGAGAGUCCUCCUCCCCUCUCCCUCUCCCUCUCACACGCACAUAUUUGUCACUUUCCAAAGAAUGUGUAUUGCACUUUUGAAAAAAUACCAAGUGUUCAGUUGCACUACUUCAGUUUUUAAUGUACUUGUUUAAUACUUGUUCAAUACUUGACGACCUUACAUGCUGCACUGAGCCAUGAAAUGGUAAAGGUACCAUUUAAGCCUAUGUUGGUUAUGCAUUUUGUGCAUUUUGCACUGCAGC
Long non-coding RNA from Epinephelus moara (kelp grouper), 1531 nucleotides. RefSeq lists it as uncharacterized. NCBI's taxonomy places the organism in Eukaryota, Metazoa, Chordata, Actinopteri, Perciformes, Serranidae. The record is from RefSeq and is a predicted model, not a curated record. The transcript is spliced from 4 exons.